GAUGAAGAACGUAGCGAAAUGCGAUACUUGGUGUGAAUUGCAGAAUCCCGUGAACCAUUGAGUCUUUGAACGCAAGUUGCGCCCGAAGCCAUUAGGCCGAGGGCACGCCUGCCUGGGCGUCACACGUCGUUGCCCCCCCAUCUACUCCUUCGGGAUUGCGGGGGGCGGAUGAUGGCCUCCCGUGCGCCUCUUCGCGCGGUUGGCAUAAAUGCCAAGUCCUCGGCGACGCACGCCACGACAAUCGGUGGUUGCGAAACCUCGGUUGCCCGUCGUGUGCGGUCGUCGCGCAUCGAGGGCUCGAAAAAAUUGUCGGGCUCCGGCUCGGCUUUCAACGCGACCCCAGGUCAGGCGGGGUUACCCGCUGAAUUUAAGCAUAUCAAUAAGCGGAGGA
Molecule: unclassified non-coding RNA, 391 nt
Filed under: soil metagenome
Description: partial contains 5.8S ribosomal RNA, internal transcribed spacer 2, and large subunit ribosomal RNA
Rfam family: 5.8S ribosomal RNA (bases 1-122)
Source: RNAcentral